GGAAGAAGGAAUCAGGAGGCAGAGCACAUGGUUAAAGCAUGAGAUGUGAAACCAGGAAGAACCAGGUCUGAAUCUUAGCUCCACCAGUGGUAGCUCCAAACCUUAGUCCUUUCUGAGCCUGCUUCUUCAACCCUAAGGGAACACUACACUUCCUUAAAAAUUAAGAGUGUGUGCUACACUGCUUUACUAGAGCAAGACCAAAAGCAGCUUCAAUUAUGGUACAACUGUGUGAAGACACAAUGCAAAACCACUCAAGAAUGCUCACUCAAAUGGAUCUUUUACGAUGAUAAGCGACCAGAAAACAGUCCUCUCUGAAUCAGACAAACCUCAAGAGCUGCAAGGGUUAUUAACACAUAAAGUAAAGAGUCAAAUAGUAAUCUGCAGGAAUUCGGAAACGGGACCCAGAAAGUUGUUUCCUGCAAGUGGCUGGAACAACACAAGCAAUAAGUAUCCUGAAACAGGCCCUGUUCCAACAAACUGACCCAGAAAGCAAGUAUGAGGAAUCCUGUUUCCCUACGUUCUCACUACGACAGCAGGAUAUCAAACAUUGAUAUCCACCAAUCUCUGGAUGGAAAAACAAAUCUCAGGAAUCGCUUGCAGGAGGCUCUGCACGUUCCUCAGAUUCAGAGUCGCUGUCCUUUUGCCUGUGAAGCUCCUCACUUUCAGAGUCACUAGCAUUAAGAUUUAAGGGCUCAUCAUUCUCAGAGUCUGUCACAUGAUGUCCUUUGGGGAGGCCAUCUUCUCGAUCAC
RNAcentral lists this non-coding RNA (750 nucleotides) under Pongo abelii (Sumatran orangutan). Lineage: Eukaryota; Metazoa; Chordata; Mammalia; Primates; Hominidae. The record is from RNAcentral.